This 650-nucleotide ribosomal RNA is filed under the name Archaeoteleia sp. D2030. RNAcentral describes it as "eukaryotic LSU rRNA". It matches the Rfam family "Eukaryotic large subunit ribosomal RNA", at positions 266 to 966 of the family's 3401-position model. Lineage: Eukaryota; Metazoa; Arthropoda; Insecta; Hymenoptera; Scelionidae. The record is from RNAcentral.
CGGGUUGCUUGAGAGUGCAGCUCUAAGUGGGUGGUAAACUCCAUCUAAGGCUAAAUAUGACCACGAGACCGAUAGCGAACAAGUACCGUGAGGGAAAGUUGAAAAGACCUUUGAAGAGAGAGUUCAAGAGUACGUGAAACCGUUCAGGGGUAAACCUGAGAAACCCGAAAGAUCGAAUGGGGAGAUUCAUCGUCAGCGGAGUUGGCUUCCGUGCGGAUCGCGAUGUUUGGCGUGGUGGCAGACGAUGAUCUCGAACUGGCUCGCAGCAUUAAUUUUACAUGUGAUACCGGUCGGCGACGCCCCGUCUUGAAACACGGACCAAGGAGUCUAACAUGUGCGCGAGUCAUUGGGACUGAAAAGCCUAAAGGCGCAUUGAAAGAGAAGGUCGACCUUGCGUCGACUGAGGGAGGAUGAGCCGCGUCACGAUGCGGCUUCGCACUCCCGGGGCGUCUCGUACUCAUUGCGAGUUGAGGCGCACCCAGAGCGUACACGUUGGGACCCGAAAGAUGGUGAACUAUGCCUGGUCAGGACGAAGUCAGGGGAAACCCUGAUGGAGGUCCGUAGCGAUUCUGACGUGCAAAUCGAUCGUCGGAACUGGGUAUAGGGGCGAAAGACUAAUCGAACCAUCUAGUAGCUGGUUCCCUCCGAAG